Molecule: long non-coding RNA, 502 nt
Organism: Orcinus orca (killer whale)
Lineage: Eukaryota; Metazoa; Chordata; Mammalia; Artiodactyla; Delphinidae
Exons: 3
Source: RefSeq, a predicted model, not a curated record
GGAAAGGAAAGGAAAGGGAAAAAGGCAGGAGAAAAGGCAUCUCUACUCAAGGCAACAGCACGAGUUAAAGGCGCCCUGGCUGCUGCCCAGGUACUGACUCACCGCCAUCACUUCCGUGGCUGGGGAAGAGGGAGGUCAGUAAACAGUUAUAGGAAAAAUAAUUGACAUUUAUACCAAAGAAGUACCUCUGAUACAGCUGCUCAGGAAGCCCAUUCCCCAGGCCUUGCUCAGUCAGACAUUCCUGGAGAGUAACUACCAAGAGAAAAUGAGACGGAUCCGGCCCUGUGAGAUACUACUGAUCAUGCUAAAUUUUCAAGGGGUCUUCAAGAAAAGAAGCAGCACAUCAAUUAAUCAAUAUUAUCAUGCAAAACAGAAUUUUUUUCAUACGUACCAACUCUUCACUCUGACUUGCCAAAAGAUCGUGACUGAAUGCAAGCUGACUUACGCAGACCACAAAUCUGUCAGGAAAUACCCGGAGUUCUGUACAAAAUGAAGGAAAUCA